UUGCAUCCUACUUCCAUAUUUUUGCUACAGACGCGGUUGAUUAAUCCGGAGUGGAAUGUCCAAAUGCAAUCGCAAAUCGAGGAUUUGAUACCACGUGCAGAAACCGGGUCCUGUUCUAGCCUCAGUUACGCGUCCUGAAGAUUUUAUCGGAUUAUUUGGCCCCGAACGCUACAAAAAAGGUAUGUUCAUGAUCCGUAUGAUCGGUCAUUUUCUGGGCAUGGAGGUCCUUCGAGCCGGUUGAUGCAUUACAUAAAGAGACACCAAUACGGAAACGUGGAGCAGGAUGAUUGUGGA
RNAcentral lists this long non-coding RNA (294 nucleotides) under Bemisia tabaci. Its description in RNAcentral is "lncRNA ENSSSA1NGG004986". The record is from RNAcentral. Lineage: Eukaryota; Metazoa; Arthropoda; Insecta; Hemiptera; Aleyrodidae.